Molecule: long non-coding RNA, 232 nt
Filed under: Pan troglodytes (chimpanzee)
Lineage: Eukaryota; Metazoa; Chordata; Mammalia; Primates; Hominidae
Description: long non-coding RNA NONPTRT014124
Source: RNAcentral
CUUCCCUCAGAAUACUUAUAUGACUCAUGUCAAUUUAACCUUCUGACAAGAUGACAACUCCAUUUUUAAUAUGUAUAAUAAAUAUUAAUAGUUUACCUUUUUCUUUCAUUUCAUUUCUUUUCUUUUUUCUGUUCUCUUUUUUUUUUUUUUUUUGAAGGGGGCAGGUAGGGGUAGGGGACUAAAAAAAUUCCUCCAAAUUCCUUCACAAAAAAAAAAAUAACAAAAUAGGACA